UUCUGGCUCAGAACGAACGCUGGCGGCAUGGAUUAGGCAUGCAAGUCGAACGAAGCAGCAAUGCUUAGUGGCGGAAGGGUGAGGAACGCGUGAGUAAUCUGCCCUCAAGUUGGGAAUAACAGCUGGAAACGGCUGCUAAUACCGAAUGUGGCUGUUGGGUCGCAUGGUCUGACAGUUAAAGAUUUAUUGCUUGAGGAUGAGCUCGCGUCCCAUUAGCUAGUUGGCGGGGCAACGGCCCACCAAGGCGAUGAUGGGUAGCUGGUCUGAGAGGAUGGUCAGCCACACUGGGACUGAGACACUGCCCAGACUCCUACGGGAGGCUGCAGUCGAGAAUCUUGGGCAAUGCGCGAAAGCGUGACCCAGCCAAUGCCGCGUGCGUGAUGAAGGUCUUCGGAUUGUAAAGCGCUGUCAACCGGGACGAACUUAUGACGGUACCGGUGAAGGAAGCCACGGCUAACUACGUGCCAGCCGCUGC
This 475-nucleotide ribosomal RNA is filed under the name uncultured bacterium. RNAcentral describes it as "bacterial SSU rRNA". It matches the Rfam family "Bacterial small subunit ribosomal RNA", at positions 17 to 518 of the family's 1533-position model. The record is from RNAcentral.